Molecule: non-coding RNA, 94 nt
Organism: Mycena metata
Lineage: Eukaryota; Fungi; Basidiomycota; Agaricomycetes; Agaricales; Mycenaceae
Source: the annotation of a GenBank genome assembly
GACAUGGUGGUGUAACUGGUAACAUCCCUGCUUCUACUAGUCCUGUAAGUAGUAGGCUAGGCAGGAGCUCCCCGUUCGAUUCGGGGUCAGGUCA